This 1330-nucleotide long non-coding RNA is filed under the name Nicotiana benthamiana. RNAcentral describes it as "long non-coding RNA (NBEN_LNC039109)". Lineage: Eukaryota; Viridiplantae; Streptophyta; Magnoliopsida; Solanales; Solanaceae. The record is from RNAcentral.
GGAUCAGAGUUUUGAUGUUUUAGUUGGGUUCGUACGGUUAUUUUGAACUUCGACAAUAUUUUCGGAAUUUAAUUCAGGGAUCCCAAAACUGGAACUAAUAGUACAGACUUGAAAUACCAAAACAAAAGUGAAAUCUUCCCGGUGGUUAUUUGCAAUUAUCGAACUAAUUCUUUUCUACAGAAACAACUAAAGAAACUACAUGCUAGUAUUAAACUCUUAAACAGUCAAAACCAAAAAGCUAAACCUCCUAUUACAGUCUAAGAAUUGCGAUAUCAAAGAUUAUAAGCAAAAUGUGAACACUGACAAACCACAAAACAAAGAAAGAAUAAAAAAUGGUGCAACGACUAAUUACUUACAACUAUAUAUAUAUGCUACCAAAUCCAAGAAGAGGGGUACGUAGUGGAAAAAGAAUUCCUCACUUGAGGCCUACUGAAUACAAGAGGUCAGGAAACGGUGCUGAUGAUUAUGGUGGUGUGUUGGUUUUCCUUUAUAAAAUUGGUUUUCAGUGUUACAUCAGAAAAUGUAACAUUUAACCUAUUGAAACACAUUUAGUAUGGUCUGUUUUCUGAUUUGUCUUUAUAUAGGAGCUACUAAGUUUAGGAAAACAUGAAAACAUCCCAAAUGAAUUACAGUAGUUGUCUCUAGUAUGAUAUUCUUGAAACGAUUGCUAAAUAUACCCUUUGUAAUUGGGUGGAAGAAGAUCACAAAAGCAAGAACUUUCUUAUGAUGGGUCCUGCCAGCACAAUUUGCAUAGGACUGAUAACAACUUGUUGGCCACAAUUUAUGUAAAUAGGUCUGUUUUAGUGAUUAUUUUCAGUUACAAGACGAAAAGUGGUAUUUCUGAAUAUAUAUAUAUAUAUACUAAUAUACAAAAUUAUAAAAAUCUUAUAUACUUUUUUAACUAUCAAAUAUAAAUAGUUUUUAGCACGGGAUAAAAGUGAUAAUAUACCAAAUGUUGGAGUAGGCUAAAAGAAUAAGUGGGCUGAAAAUCCCUUAUCAUUGGGUUUCUGCUCAACAUCUAAAUCGGUUAGGGAUAGGCCUCAUUACACACAACUAGUUUUUCUUUGGAAAAAUUACCCGAACUGUCAGCUCAUAAAUAAUGUUAACCAAAACCAGCUCACAUUCCGAAAUUUUGAAUUGAAAUAAAUUAAAGAGGGGUACGUAGUGGAAUGUUGUAUCCCAAAGUUCAGUUUUUCUCGGUUCAAAACUUCAAGACAUUGUAUCCUUAAGUUCAAGCUUAUGCAGUGAUUUGAUAGCUUUGGAACGACUCCUGGAACAUUCGAGGAAAAACGUAUGUUUAAAUAGAGGAGACUGUAACAAACCAACUAGU